GGAGAAUGGAAGAUAAAGUUGGAGACACUUGUAACAAAACUUAAAGAAGGUGUCCCCAGCCUGUAAGAGACUUUCCAGAAAUUGCAAGUCUUGCCUUUAAUGCGGAAGACUCAAAGUUGUGCUUGAGGUUUAUGCCAGGAGGAACCAUUUGCCACCCAAGGAAUGCCUCUCUGGGGGUGACUGGGAGCGUGCUGGAGGCACAGCCCUUGGG
Molecule: long non-coding RNA, 211 nt
Filed under: Phasianus colchicus (ring-necked pheasant)
Lineage: Eukaryota; Metazoa; Chordata; Aves; Galliformes; Phasianidae
Description: lncRNA (ENSPCLG00000011129.1)
Source: RNAcentral